This is a long non-coding RNA of Oxyura jamaicensis (ruddy duck), 696 nucleotides long. RefSeq lists it as uncharacterized. The transcript is spliced from 3 exons. NCBI's taxonomy places the organism in Eukaryota, Metazoa, Chordata, Aves, Anseriformes, Anatidae. The record is from RefSeq and is a predicted model, not a curated record.
AGGGAGUUUGCUUUAUGCAUUUUUUCCUCAAGGAUCAGCUUCUGUGAUUGAUUGUAUUUGCGUCACAUGAAUCUCGUUUUCAUUUCUGGCAUUUUUAUGAACCUUAUGAAGGAGGGUGAGCGGAUAUCCAAGUGUACCCUAAACACCAUUACUGUGUUUCCCUGCUGGCAUCAUUUCAUUUUCUUUUGAGUAUCUACAGUCAUGUUCCCCAGCACUCAGAAGUACACCAGGCAGUUGUCACAAUCAAAUAUUAUUUAUUUGAAGACUCUGUAGGAUGCCUGGGCAUCUGAAUGGCUCUAAAAGAAACACUGCUGCUUUGACUGAUUGUGCAAUGGCACUUUUCCUCCCAGCUGCAUCUCAUAAUCUCCGACUGCCAGCAGACCUGUGGCGAACAGAGACACUUCCCCUGCUCAACUGCUUCUCCUCCGACGUCUCUUCCUCCCGCAGGCUGCAUCACCUUUCUUCCAGUGACUGCUCAAAGACAAAAAGCUUUGCACAGGCUCAAAAGCCAAAGGUUUUGAGAAUGGGGGAGGUGGAGAGGGACCUGCCAGAAAAGUGAUGCCCUUGAGGAGGACGUUGUGCUGUUAUUUCUGCUCAGAUGGUGCUGGAGAGCUGGUGCGAGCCCUGAAGUGCUGGGAAUACACAAAAAAAAAGUGUGAGUGGCGGCUUGGGACCAGCUUUUCAAUGAAUUUUAGA